RNAcentral lists this ribosomal RNA (467 nucleotides) under marine sediment bacterium ISA-1319. Its description in RNAcentral is "bacterial SSU rRNA". It matches the Rfam family "Bacterial small subunit ribosomal RNA", at positions 37 to 491 of the family's 1533-position model. The record is from RNAcentral.
UGGCGGCAGGCCUAACACAUGCAAGUCGAGCGGUAACAGAAAGAAAGCUUGCUUUCUUUGCUGACGAGCGGCGGACGGGUGAGUAAUGCCUAGGGAUCUGCCCAGUCGAGGGGGAUAACAGUUGGAAACGACUGCUAAUACCGCAUACGCCCUACGGGGGAAAGGAGGGGACCUUCGGGCCUUUCGCGAUUGGAUGAACCUAGGUGGGAUUAGCUAGUUGGUGAGGUAAUGGCUCACCAAGGCGACGAUCCCUAGCUGUUCUGAGAGGAUGAUCAGCCACACUGGGACUGAGACACGGCCCAGACUCCUACGGGAGGCAGCAGUGGGGAAUAUUGCACAAUGGGGGAAACCCUGAUGCAGCCAUGCCGCGUGUGUGAAGAAGGCCUUCGGGUUGUAAAGCACUUUCAGUUGUGAGGAAAGGGUGUUGCUUAAUACGUAACAUCUGUGACGUUAGCAACAGAAGAAGA